AUUGAACGCUGGCGGCAGGCCUAACACAUGCAAGUCGAGCGGAGCGGCGGACGGGUGAGUAAUGCCUAGGAAUCUGCAUGGUAGUGGGGGAAAACGGCCGGCAACGGGCGAUAAUACCGCAUACUAUCAGAUGAGACUAGGGCGGUUUAGCUAGUUGGUGGGGUAAUGGCCUACCAAGGCGACGAGCCGUACCGGGUCUGAGAGGAUGAUCAGCCACACGUGAACUGAGACAGGGUCCAGACUCCUACGGGAGGCAGCAGUGGGAAAUAUUGGACAAUGGGCGAAAGCCUGAUGCAGCCAGGCCGCGUGUGUGAAGAAGGUCUUCGGAUUGUAAAGCACUUUAAGUUGGGAGGCGUUACCAACAGAAUAAGCACCGGCUAACUUCGUGCCAGCAGCCGCGGUAAUAC
RNAcentral lists this ribosomal RNA (407 nucleotides) under uncultured bacterium. Its description in RNAcentral is "partial 16S ribosomal RNA". It matches the Rfam family "Bacterial small subunit ribosomal RNA", at positions 30 to 526 of the family's 1533-position model. The record is from RNAcentral.